This is a long non-coding RNA of Olea europaea var. sylvestris, 443 nucleotides long. RefSeq lists it as uncharacterized. The transcript has 2 exons. NCBI's taxonomy places the organism in Eukaryota, Viridiplantae, Streptophyta, Magnoliopsida, Lamiales, Oleaceae. The record is from RefSeq and is a predicted model, not a curated record.
AUCAACUUGUCUCACAAUAUUGUCAGAUAGAUGCAAAAUUAUAUAACUGUAAGCAAUUUCAUUCAUAUCUUCAAUUUCAGUUGUUUUAGCUUUUAACUCAUCAGAAAAUGUAGCGGGAUCAUCAAGAGCUUUAGCAAUUCUCUGUUGGACCAAAAUGGCCCUCAUUUUCUGUUUCCAUAUCGAGUAAUCCCCCUUUCCAUCGAAUUGCGAUAAUUCGACCCUCAAACCUAUUAUAGAUUCUAUAAAAGAGUGGCCUGUACUCGUGGACACAACAAAAAAGGUUUUGAAAAAUUCUUUUCCAGAUGAUCAAUAUAAAACUGAGUACCGAGUUUAAAAAAAAACAAUUUUUAGAAAUGAAGCACAACAGUGAAAUAAUCCGUUCACGAAACACAGGUAUAUAAAGCAGGUAAAUAUGCUUCCAGGUUACAAAUUAAUCACAAGAA